GAUGAACGCUAGCUACAGGCUUAACACAUGCAAGUCGCAGGGUAACAUGAGGAAAGCUUGCUUUCCUUGAUGACGACUGGCGCACGGGUGAGUAACGCGUAUCCAACCUUCCCAUAACUACAGGAUAACCCGUUGAAAGACGGCCUAAUACCGUAUGACAUCGUUUGCUGACAUCAAAUAACGAUUAAAGGUUUAGCGGUUAUGGAUGGGGAUGCGUCUGAUUAGCUUGUUGGCGGGGUAACGGCCCACCAAGGCGACGAUCAGUAGGGGUUCUGAGAGGAAGGUCCCCCACAUUGGAACUGAGACACGGUCCAAACUCCUACGGGAGGCAGCAGUGAGGAAUAUUGGUCAAUGGGCGAGAGCCUGAACCAGCCAAGUAGCGUGCAGGAUGACGGCCCUAUGGGUUGUAAACUGCUUUUAUGUGGGGAUAAAGUGCGUGACGUGUCAUGCAUUGCAGGUACCACAUGAAUAAGGACCGGCUAAUUCCGU
Molecule: ribosomal RNA, 489 nt
Filed under: uncultured bacterium
Lineage: Bacteria
Description: partial 16S ribosomal RNA
Rfam family: Bacterial small subunit ribosomal RNA
Source: RNAcentral